Molecule: long non-coding RNA, 646 nt
Organism: Xenia sp. Carnegie-2017
Lineage: Eukaryota; Metazoa; Cnidaria; Anthozoa; Malacalcyonacea; Xeniidae
Exons: 2
Source: RefSeq, a predicted model, not a curated record
UUGAAUCACUUGGGUACAUUAUAGUGUAGGGUAGAGAGGUUUUGUUGAAUCACUUGGGUACAUUAUAGUGUAGGGUAGAGAGGUUUUGUUGAAUCACUUGGGUACAUUAUAGUGUAGGGUAGAGAGGUUUUGUUGAAUCACUUGGGUACAUUAUAGUGUAGGGUAGAGAGGUUUUGUUGGAUCACUUGGGUACAUUAUAGUGUAGGGUAGAGAGGUUUUGUUGAAUCACUUGGGUACAUUAUAGUGUAGGGUAGAGAGGUUUUGUUGAAUCACUUGGGUACAUUAUAGUGUAGGGUAGAGAGGUUUUGUUGAAUCACUUGGGUACAUUAUAGUGUAGGGUAGAGAGGUUUUGUUGAAUCACUUGGGUACAUUAUAGUGUAGGGUAGAGAGGUUUUGUUGAAUCACUUGUGUACAUUAUAGUGUAGGGUAGAGAGGUUUUGUUGAAUCACUUGGGUACAUUAUAGUGUAGGGUAGAGAGGUUUUGUUGAAUCACUUGGGUACAUUAUAGUGUAGGGUAGAGAGGUUUUGUUGAAUCACUUGUGUACAUUAUAGUGUAGGGUAGAGAGGUUUUGUUGGAUCGCUUGGGUACAUUAUAGUGUAGGGUAGAGAGGUUUUGUUGGAUCGCUUGGGUACAUUAUAGUGUAGG